This 44-nucleotide transfer RNA is filed under the name Cyclura pinguis. RNAcentral describes it as "partial tRNA-Thr". Lineage: Eukaryota; Metazoa; Chordata; Lepidosauria; Squamata; Iguanidae. The record is from RNAcentral.
UGGUCUUGUAAACCAAAGCUGGGCCCCAACCAGCCCCUAAGGCA